AUACGGAGGGUGCAAGCGUUAUCCGGAUUUAUUGGGUUUAAAGGGUGCGCAGGCGGACCUGUCAGUCAGUGGUGAAAUCCCGGGGCUCAACCCCGGAACUGCCAUUGAUACUACAGGUCUUGAAUACGGUUGAAGUAGGCGGAAUGUAGCAUGUAGCGGUAAAAUGCAUAGAUAUGCUACAGAACACCGAUCGCGAAGGCAGCUUACUAAGCCGAUAUUGACGCUCAGGCACGAAAGCGUGGGUAGCGAACAGGAUUAGAAACCCUAGUAGUCC
This 274-nucleotide ribosomal RNA is filed under the name uncultured bacterium. Its description in RNAcentral is "partial 16S ribosomal RNA". It matches the Rfam family "Bacterial small subunit ribosomal RNA", at positions 523 to 796 of the family's 1533-position model. The record is from RNAcentral.